Molecule: ribosomal RNA, 464 nt
Filed under: uncultured bacterium
Lineage: Bacteria
Description: partial 16S ribosomal RNA
Rfam family: Bacterial small subunit ribosomal RNA
Source: RNAcentral
CGAACGCUGGCGGCGCGCCUACCACAUGCAAGUCGAACGAGCGAGAGAGAGCUUGCUUUCUUGAGCGAGUGGCGAACGGGUGAGUAACGCGUGAGGAACCUGCCCCAAAGAGGGGGACAACAGUUGGAAACGACUGCUAAUACCGCAUAAGCCCACGACCCGGCAUCGGGUUGAGGGAAAAGGAGCAAUCCGCUUUGAGAUGGCCUCGCGUCCGAUUAGCUAGUUGGUGAGGUAACGGCCCACCAAGGCGACGAUCGGUAGCCGGACUGAGAGGUUGAACGGCCACAUUGGGACUGAGACACGGCCCAGACUCCUACGGGAGGCAGCAGUGGGGAAUAUUGCACAAUGGGGGAAACCCUGAUGCAGCGACGCCGCGUGGAGGAAGAAGGUCUUCGGAUUGUAAACUCCUGUUGUUGAGGAAGAUAAUGACGGUACUCAACAAGGAAGUGACGGCUAACUACGUG